GAUGAACGCUAGCGGCAGGCUUAACACAUGCAAGUCGAGGGGUAUAGUAGCAAUACUAGAGACCGGCGCACGGGUGCGUAACGCGUAUGCAAUCUACCUUUCACAGAGGGAUAGCCCAGAGAAAUUUGGAUUAAUACCUCAUAGUAUAGUAUCUUGGCAUCAAGGAACUAUUAAAGUCACAACGGUGAAAGAUGAGCAUGCGUCCCAUUAGUUAGUUGGUAAGGUAACGGCUUACCAAGACUACGAUGGGUAGGGGUCCUGAGAGGGAGAUCCCCCACACUGGUACUGAGACACGGACCAGACUCCUACGGGAGGCAGCAGUGAGGAAUAUUGGACAAUGGGCGCAAGCCUGAUCCAGCCAUGCCGCAUGCAGGAUGACGGUCCUAUGGAUUGUAAACUGCUUUUGUACAGGAAGAAACACCCCGACGUGUCGGGACUUGACGGUACUGUAAGAAUAAGGAUCGGCUAACUCCGUGCCAGCAGCCGCGGUAA
RNAcentral lists this ribosomal RNA (492 nucleotides) under uncultured bacterium. RNAcentral describes it as "partial 16S ribosomal RNA". It matches the Rfam family "Bacterial small subunit ribosomal RNA", at positions 28 to 523 of the family's 1533-position model. The record is from RNAcentral.